Non-coding RNA from Fukomys damarensis (Damara mole-rat), 200 nucleotides. The record is from Rfam. NCBI's taxonomy places the organism in Eukaryota, Metazoa, Chordata, Mammalia, Rodentia, Bathyergidae.
AUCACUUCUCGGCCUUUUGGCUAAGAUCAAGUGUAGUAUCUGUUCUUAUCAGUUUAAUAAUCAUUUUCAACAAGAAUUUGGCAUUAACUUUCUUAACCUCAGUAAGAGAAGAGGGAUGGAUCACUGCAGGCCUUCCUGACACUUCAUUUUUGUUUUGGAGUGGAGAGGCCUUUCAAAGUUCUGAGAUCAAGCCACCGUAU